UACGUAGGGAGCAAGCGUUGUCCGGAAUCAUUGGGCGUAAAGCGCGCGUAGGCGGCCCUGUAAGUCCGUUGUGAAAGUCAAAGGCUCAACCUUUGAAAGCCGAUGGAUACUGCAGGGCUAGAGUCCGGAAGAGGCGAGUGGAAUUCCUGGUGUAGCGGUGGAAUGCGCAGAUAUCAGGAGGAACACCAAUAGCGAAGGCAGCUCGCUGGGACGGUACUGACGCUAAGGCGCGAAGGCCAGGGGAGCAAACGGG
This 253-nucleotide ribosomal RNA is filed under the name uncultured bacterium. RNAcentral's name for it is "partial 16S ribosomal RNA". It matches the Rfam family "Bacterial small subunit ribosomal RNA", at positions 524 to 776 of the family's 1533-position model. The record is from RNAcentral.